GCUGCGAUGGCCGAGUGGUUAAGGCGUUGGACUCGAAAUCCAAUGGGAUAUUCCCGCACAGGUUUGAACCCGGUUCGCAGCG
This 82-nucleotide transfer RNA is filed under the name Capitella teleta. RNAcentral describes it as "tRNA-Ser for anticodon CGA". It matches the Rfam family "tRNA". Rfam says of the family: Transfer RNA (tRNA) molecules are approximately 80 nucleotides in length. Their secondary structure includes four short double-helical elements and three loops (D, anti-codon, and T loops). Lineage: Eukaryota; Metazoa; Annelida; Polychaeta; Capitellidae. The record is from Rfam by way of RNAcentral.